UGCAAGUCGUGCGAGAAAGCCCUGGCUUGCCAGGGUGAGUAAAGCGGCGAACGGGUGCGUAACACGUGAGCAAUCUGCCCUUCGGAGGGGGAUAAGCCCUCGAAAGGGGGUCUAAUACCGCAUGACAUUUCGGAAUGGCAUCUUUCUGAAAUCAAAGGUGGCCUCUACUUGUAAGCUACCACCGAAGGAUGAGCUCGCGCUCCAUUAGCCUGUUGGCAGGGUAACGGCCUACCAAAGCUACGAUGGAUAGCCGGCCUGAGAGGGUGACCGGCCACACUGGGACUGAGAUACGGCCCAGACUCCUACGGGAGGCAGCAGUAGGGAAUAUUGCGCAAUGGACGAAAGUCUGACGCAGCAACGCCGCGUGCGGGAUGAAGCUUCUUGGAGUGUAAACCGCUGUCAGGAGGGACGAACGGUCCCGGCUCUAACAUAGCCGGGAAUUGACGGUACCUCCAGAGGAAGCUCCGGCUAACUCCGUGCCAGCAGCCGCGGUAAUACGGGGGGAGCAAGCGUUGUUCGGAAUCACUGGGCGUAAAGGGUGCGCAGGCGGGAGGAUAGGUCGAAUGUGAAAACCCUGGGCUCAACCCAGGGCCUGCAUCCGAAACCAUUCUUCUUGAGUAUCGGAGAGGGAAGCGGAACUCCAGGUGUAGCGGUGAAAUGCGUAGAUAUCUGGGGGAACACCGGUGGCGAAGGCGGCUUCCUGGACGAAUACUGACGCUCAUGCACGA
RNAcentral lists this ribosomal RNA (728 nucleotides) under uncultured bacterium. RNAcentral's name for it is "bacterial SSU rRNA". It matches the Rfam family "Bacterial small subunit ribosomal RNA", at positions 56 to 756 of the family's 1533-position model. The record is from RNAcentral.